RNAcentral lists this long non-coding RNA (3819 nucleotides) under Vitis vinifera (wine grape). RNAcentral's name for it is "long non-coding RNA (VVIN_LNC004208)". The record is from RNAcentral. Lineage: Eukaryota; Viridiplantae; Streptophyta; Magnoliopsida; Vitales; Vitaceae.
UCUAAAUGCAAUGAACAACUUAGGGUUGUGGAUGAUAUGAACAGUCAUUCUUGUCAUCCAUAGCUCUGAGUUGUUCAUAGCAUCUAGGGCGUUGAGUUUAAGGCCCCGAGUCGUUCAUGUUAUCCAUAGCCCUAAGCUGUUCAUAGCAGCUAGAGCCUUAAGCUCCCAACCUUGAGUCAUUCAUAUCAUCCACACCUCUGAGUUGUUCAUAGAAUUUAGAGCCUUGAGCUACAACCCAAAGUUGUUGAUGUCAUUCACAACCCUUAGCUAUUCAUAGCAUCUAAGGCCCCUGAGCUCACACCCUAGAAUAGUUCAUAUAAUCCACAACCCUGAGCUGCUCAAAGCAUCUACUGGCCCAAGCUCAGAAGAACUCGAGUCAUUGAUAUCAUUCAUAACCUUGAGCUAUUCAUAGCAUUUGAGCCUUGAGGUCAUGAUCUAGAUUCGUUCAUGUCAUCCACAAUCCUUAGUUGUUCAUAGCAUCUAAAGCCUUAAGCUCACAACCUGAAGUCAUUCAUGUCAUCCACAACCCUAAGCUCUUCAUAGCAUCUUAAGGCUUGAGCUGAUGACCUUGAAUCGUCCAUAUCAUCCAUAGCCCUAAGUUGUUGACAACAUCUAGUUCCUUGAGCUCACGGGACCCCGAGUCAUUCAUAUCAUCCACAACACUAAGUUGUUCAUUGCAUUUAGAGCCUUGAGCCCAUGACCCAAAGUCGUUCAUGUCAUCCAUAGCCCUGAGCUCUUCAAAGCAUCUAGAGCCCUGAGCAUACGAACCUGAGUCGUUCAUAUCAUCAAGAACCCUAAGUUCUUCAUAACAUUUAGAGCCUUAAGCUCAUGACCUAGAACCAUUCAUAUCAUCCACAAUCCUGAGGUGUCCAUGACAUCUAGAGCCCUAAGCACACAAGACCCUGAGUCGUUCAUGUCAUCCACAUUCUGGAGCUAUUGAUAGCAUUUAAAGCCUUGAGUUCAUGACCCGGAGUCAUUCAUGUCAUCCACAACCCAGAGUUGUUCAUAGAUUUUAAAGCCUUAAGCUCAUGACCUAGAGUUGUUCAUGUCAUCCAAAGCUCCAAACUCUUCGUUGCAUCUAGAGUGUAGAGCUUGCAACUUGGUGUCGUUCAUGUCAUACACUGCCCUGAGAUGUACAUAGCAUCCAAAAUCCUGAGCACAUGACCCCAAGUUGUUCAUAUCAUCCACAGCUUAAGCUGUUUAGAGAAUUUGGAGCCUUGAGCUCGUGACCCAAAGCUAUUCACGUCAUCCACAACCCUGAUUUGUUCAAAGCAUCUAAAGCCUUGAGCUCACGACCUAGAAUCAUGCAUAAAAUCCAUAACCCUGCUCUAUUCACUACAUCCAGUUCCCUUAACUCACGGGGCCUCGAGUUGUUCAUGUCAUCCACAGCCCUAAGUUGUUCAUUGCAUUUAGAGCCCUGAGCCCAUGACUUAGAUCCAUUCAUGUGAUCCACAGUCCUAAGCUGUUCAUAGCAUCUAGAGCCUUAAGCUCAUGACCCCAAGUCGCUCAUGUCAUCCAUAGCCUAGAGUUGUUCAUAGAAUCUAAAGCAUUGUGCACACAACCCUGAGUCAUUCAUAUCAUCCACAACCCAAACUGUUCAUAGCAUUUAGAGCCUUGAGCUCACAACCCAAAGUAUUUCAGAUCAUCCAUUGCUUGAGUCGUUCAUAGUUUUUAGAGUGUUGAGCUCACGACCCGAAGUCAUUCAUGUCAUCAAUAACCCUGAGUUGUUCAUAACAUCUAGAGCCUUGAGUACACGACCAUGAGUCUUUCAUGCUCUCAAUUCAUGAAUCGGAGUCGUUGAUGUCAUCCACAACCCUAACUGUUCUUAGCAUUUAGAGUCGUAAGCUCACAACCCAGAGUCAUUCAUGUCAUCCACAACCCUAAGUUGUUUGUAACAUCUAGAGCCUUGAACACAAGACCCCAAGUUGUUCAUAUCAUCCACAACCCUGAACUCUUCAUAGCAUCUAAAGCCUUGAGCUUAUGACCAAGAACCUUUCAUAACAUCCACAACGUUGAGGUGUCCACGACAUCUAAAGCCCUAAUCACAUAAGACCCUGAGUCAUUCCUGUCAUCCAUAGUCGAGAGUUGUUCAUAGCAUUUAAAGCCUUGAGUUAAUGACCCGAAGUCAUUCAUGUCAUCCACAACCCCGAGCUGUUCAUAGCAUCUAGAGCCUUGAGCUCACGACCCAGAGUCGUUCAUGUCAUACAUUGCCCGGACUCAAGGUUAUGAACUCAAGGCUCUAGAUGCUAUGAACAACUCAAGGCUAUGGGUCAUAUGAACGACUCUGGGUCUAAGCUCAAGGCUCUAAAUGUAAUGAACAACUUAGGGUUGUGAAUGAUAUGAACAACUAUGGGUCGUAAGCUCAUGGUUCUAGAUGAUAUGAAUAACUAACGAUUGUGGAUGAUACAAAUAACUCCGAUUCAUGAGCUCAAUGUUAUGGAUUAUAUGAACAACUUGGGGUCGUGAGCUUAAGACUCUAGAUACUAUGAACAACUUAGGCUUGUGGAUGACAUGAACGACUGUAGGUCAUGAGCUGAGCGCUCUAAAGGCAAUGAAUGACAUAGGGUUGUGCAUGAUAUGAACAACUCGGGGUCCCAUGAGCUCAAUGCAUUGGAUGUUAUGAACAACUUAGGGCAAUGGAUGAUAUGGACCAUUUUGGGUCGUAAGCUCAAGGCUCUAGAUGCUAUGAACAGCUCAGGGUUAUGGAUGACAUGAAUGACUCUAGGUCAUGAGUUGAGCGCUCUAAAUGCAAUGAACAACUUAGGGUUGUGAAUGAUAUGAAUAACUCGAGGUCUCGUGAGCUUAAGGCACUAGAUGCUAUGAACAACUCAGGGUCUCGUGAGCUCAAGGCACUAGAUGCUAUGAACAACUCAGGGCAGUGGAUGAUAUGGACGAUUCUAGGUCGUAAGCUCAAGGCUCUGGGUGCUAUGAACAACUUAGGGUUGUUGAUGACAUGAACUACUCUUGGUUGUGAGCUCAAGGCUCUAAAUGCUAUGAACAACUUAGGUUGUGGAUGAUAUGAAUGACUCAAGGUCGUAUGUUGAGGACUCUAGAUGCUAUGAACAACCUAGGGCAUUGUAUGACAUGAACUACACAUACACAUUCAUAUUGGUAGAAAAUCAACCAAAGCCCUAUGACACAAAACCUUAAGUAUCAAAACUUAAAAACCCUUGAGAACAUGAAUCCUUAAUCGAUCAAAUUUACAGUGAACAUCAACUACAAUCCUAAAAGACAAACUCAACCAAAUGAAAAUUGAGAAAUCUAACACACACACAAAAGGAGAGAUUAGAUAAGGAAGUAAACAAAGAGUGAAGACCUUAGAAGUAGAUAUUUUACGAGAGAAGCAUCGUGGCCGAGAAAAACCCAUCUCUCUCUUGAAAAGCUCUGUAAAUUCAUCUCCAAAUCCCUUACAGCGAGACUCCAUGGCAGUAGUUAUAGAGUUGACUAGAGGUUGGAGCUGCACACAGAAUCAAAGGCUUGAAGAGCAUGUGCCAAGCUCAAUACACAGAGAGCAUGAGAAUUGGAAUUUUAAGAAAAGAGUGAUUCAUGCAUACGUGUCGAUUACAAGUAUAACAAUGGACUUCUGUUCUUUAUUCACUCAUUUUCUCUAAAAUUGUCUUCUAAAAAAAAUAAUAAUGAAAAUGUUAAUGGACAUAUUAAUAAUAUAUUGCGAAAUAACUGGAAAACAUGUCAUUUUAGAAAUAUUUAAAAUUUUAAUUUAAUUAAUUUUUUAGUUUUUCCAUCAAACAUCCAACAUAAAAAAAUUAUUUAUUUCUUCUCAUUUCUAACCCUCUUCUUAGGUACUUUUCAAGAAAUAAG